This 729-nucleotide long non-coding RNA is filed under the name Aedes aegypti (yellow fever mosquito). RNAcentral describes it as "lncRNA AAEL020225". Lineage: Eukaryota; Metazoa; Arthropoda; Insecta; Diptera; Culicidae. The record is from RNAcentral.
AUUUUAGCCCAGGAGAUGAAAGGUGAUAGCUCUACUGAAAUUCCAACGACCCAUUUCAAGAAUGGCACACGCAGAAGAAUUUUAAUAUGUUGAAACUAAGAACGCAUUGGUUAGAAUCAAUAAUUUGUGAAUGUAUCAAAUCAAUUCAUUCGCAUGUUAGCUUUAAAACCAGCAUAUUUUUAAAACAACAAAAUUUCUAGUUGAAUGAAAAUAUGGUAGUAGAUUUUCGCUUCAACAAUUUACAAUUAUUAUUUCUAUAAUUGUGAUUUUUAGAAUCUACAAUAUUUUUUAUUUAUGGUCGCCAUCAUGUAUUUGUGAGAAAAAGUGACGCGAACGAAAUGAAUAGAGCUGAAAGUAUAUCCGGUGAAAAACGAUAAGAAUUCAUUAAAUUGCUGCAAAUUUUUGAUUUAUCAGACGGUAAGCAUUUGAGGCAAGUUAAUACUUUCAGAAGGCAUUUCAUUUAUAUAUCACACAAUUUAUUUUCAGCCAAUAUGUGCCGAAGAAAUGGAAACUAUACUUUUAGCGGCGGGAGGAAAACUAUCGCACAAGAAAAGCAAAAGAAUGUGCCGUCCGGGUUAUUCAGCAACGACAACGGCUGGUGAAAUUCGAUGUGAGCUGCUCACAACCUAUGGAACCAUCCAGAGAUGAACUUUGUUCUAGAACAUCACAAUCAUUCAUUCUGAUUAGAUAAACAUGAUUAUAUAAUAAACGAGCAAGCAUCAAUAAAAA